CUCCGGGGCGGUGGCCUCCCAGGAGAUCUGAGGGAGGGAGCCGCGCUCCGCAGGCUCAGGGAUCCCGGCGGCUCCGGACGACUGCGGACAUGCAAAGGCCCUGGGGCAGAGCGCAGGCAGCUUCCUUCUAGAAAUAAUAGGAACCACAGGCCAGUAGCUACAUGCAUAAAGACGUGAACCGGGGUUUUUGAAAAAGAAACGAAACGCAGACGGCCUUUAAACACAGCGGAGGGACUCGCCUCGGUCAGAUACAAACGAAGCCACCACGGAAGGCAGUUGUCCUCCCACCUUUUAGGUUAGUAAAGAUGAAGACAUUUGUUAAUUCGCUGUGUCGCUGGGGCUUGGGGACAGCAGUCUCACUGCCAUCCCCCUGCCUCACAGCCGCUGUGGAGCCCUUGUCCUGAGCUCGCGGAACCAGGGGACGCCGAGGCCCAGAGCGGGUAGCAUGGCGUCCCUGGCCAGUCCCUGGCCCCUGGUCGCUCUCCGCAGAGGAGGUGGGCGGGCCGGCUCGGCCUGCAGAACCGGUCACCAGGCCCGGCCACCUCCCCUGCCAGGCUGACCUCGGGCCUCGCCCAUCAGCUGCUGGCACCUGGGCGGGUCAGAGGGAGGCCCAGGGACGCGUGGCUGGGACAGACGGUAAUUGUGACCUCGUCGUGACAUCAGGAAAAGCAGGUCCUCUGCCUGGCGGCUGGGAUGGCGGGAUGGUGACCUCGACUUGCCGCGGAAUGUCCUGGUUGGGUGGCAGACGCAGGCGGGCGGUGACAGGCUCCUGGGUGUGGGUGCCCGGCUCCGGGCCCUGGGGACGCGUCCCUCCCGCCGAGCCUUCUGCCAUCCAGGCUGCGGCCACCGCGGCCCCCUGCCGUCAGGGAUUGCAGUCCUCCUGCCUCAGCCUCCGCGGAGCCGGGCAGCGGCGGGCCCGGCCUUCGCCAGUGAGGAGCCGCCCCUCGGUGGGGUCAGGGCAGAGGGGGCCGUGAGGAGCCUCGGGGCCGUGAGGGCUCAGAGGGACGGAGGAAGUCCCUCAGCAAGCGGGACGCAGGGGGCCGGGCAGCGGGGACGGGGCUGCGCCCACCAACUCCGCAGGCAGGUGCGGGCGGGGCCGCUGGGUAGGUGCCCUCCACCACUGUCCCCAGCAGCGCCUCGCCCCACGACCCUGGACAUGGAGCACGGUUCCCGUCAAGGGCCACCUGGGUGGUCUCCAGGAGGGGCAAGAGGAGGAGGCGUGAAGUUCGUUUUUCCCUCGCGUCUGCCAUCCAGGGACUCGGGAGGCUGAGGCAGGAGGAUGGCAAGUUGGAGGCCAGCCUGGGCAACCUCGGGAGGCCCUGUCUCAAAAGGAAAAGGGCUGGGCUGCGGCUCCGUGCAGAGCGCUGGCCUUCCCAGCCCCGGGCUCUGACCCAGCCACAAAAAGAAGAAAGGAAAAAAAUGAGGCCCACGUCCCCGAAGCCACCCAGGAAGGUGGGCGCAGAGGCUGCAGCAGGCAGGAGUGAGUCCCCUGCCGGGCGGCACAGGAAGGAGUGGCGUGCUGGGCGGUGGCUUCCAGGACGGAGAGUCCUCUGGGUGCUGACUGACAGGCAGGGCGGCCCGCGGGGCUGGACUGGCCCUGAGCGGCCACCGGACCCAGGUUGAGGUGCUGGAGGGAGGAGCUCGCACACCCCGGGUCCCCCGGGGCCCUGUCCAGGGACACUCCAUGGGGCUGGGGGGGCGGGUGCCCCUGUGGCUCCGGGGAAGAUGCAGGAGACGGGGGAGGGGACGUUCUGCUAAUGCCACCACCUGUCAACAGCCACAGGACCGUGGGGUUGUCCCUGACAGCCAGGGCCGUGGAUGGCGGUCACCCCACCAGAUGCACAGACACAGAGACCGCACAGGCACACAGGACACGCACACGCAGGACCCAGGGCCUUGGCCUGGGCACUCGGGAGACCCUGGGUCCCAGCGGGAGCCUCUCCAGCCUCCACUGUGUCCCAGGGCCUCCUCCAAGGGGUGGCCGGCCGGGAGGGGACAGGCAGGCCCGUAGCACAGCAUGGCUCUUGGGCGCCACCCAGUGGGCAGGAGGGGAUCUGGGGUCUUCCGGUCUCACCUGUCCCUCCAGUGUGUCUCCUGGGCCAUCUCUUCUGUCCCCACCUCCGCCUGCUGCCCCUCUCCCCCCAGGCCCCCGCCCAGAGCGCGUGUCCCAGUCUGCACUUGGACUCGGUGGCUGCACACCCGACGCGCACCGCCCUCCCCUGGGCCCUGUCCCCUGAUGCAUCCCGUGUGGGACGCCAUCUUGCUGACCGCUGGGGCUGCUGGCAGGACGGUCAGCCUCCUGGGCUUCGCUGCCCGCCAGCUCGCACGCUUGGCCCUCGGGGCAGGGACUCCGAGGGGCAGGCUGCACCCCGCCGAGCCCGGCCCUGAGCCGGCUCACCCCGCCACGGCCCCGUGGCCUGGGGAGGGCGGAGCGCAGAGCCCGGGGUCCUGGACCCCCAGGAGGCCGGCCUCCUCUCCAGGGCCCCAGACUUGCCGUGGCUCCCUACUGGCCUUCAGGCUGGUGACCCUUCCCUGAGGGGGCGGUCAGCUCCCCUUGGCCCUCAAGUCCCCUGUGCUCCGUGUGUGUCCCCCAGGUGUGGCACCCUUUCCUUCCUGGCGCCUGGCCACCCUGGGGAGCAGGACUCAGGUGCAUGGGCCAUGGCCACCUCCCUGGCACCGGCCGAGCCAGGGCGGGGUCCUGGGGCGUUUUCCCGGCCGGGCUCUGGAGCCUGGAUCUGGGACCACGGUGCAGCUUCCCAGUCAUAGGGCCUCGGGGACAUUUUCUGAGCCACUUGUGACCUCCGCCCGCCCUGCUGGGUCUGCUCUGUGAGCCUCGGGCCUGGCUGCAGCCUUCAGAAGCCCGAGGCCUGUGUCUCUGUGGCUAGGCACACGGGGCGCCCCGCAGCGCCAGAGUCUGCUGGCAAGGUGUGUGACCCCAGGACCGCGCAGGCUCCCGACGCCAUCCUUGGCUCCCUGCACUCGAGUGGCCAAACCGCGGCCUCCUCCUAAAAAUUGCUAAUGGGCCGCUGUGGGGGACGGUCCAGCGGGGACGAGUGGGAGCCUGACCCCUGGGGAGGGGUCUCUGGCAGGUGGCUGGGGCUGCUGUGGCCCGUGCAGAGCGCUGGCCAAGCGCGUGCCAGGCCCUGGGCUCAGGAAGCAGCCAGGUGGGCAGCACCAGUGGAGGCCACCGGGUGACAUAGGUGCUGUGCACACGCGGGAGGUCGUGGGGCCUGGUUUCCCUGGGGUCUUCUGUGGCGGGGUGCAGGGGUCGGCCCGCUCUGCUGCCCACUCUGCUUCAGGACGAAGCUCGGGCAGUGGGGCCUGCACCCAGGCUGGGGGCCUGUCCUCACCGAGGUCCCCAGGGGGCCAGCGUGCAGAGCCUGGGGACCCAGGCCAGGUGGAGCAUCGAGGCCCAGGGUGCUCUCUGGGCCCCUGGAGGACCCCAUGCCCCCCCCGGCCUAGCUGUCCCCUGGAGUCCCCAUAUGAGGUGUUUUCUCUUGAGAGGCCCUCUAGUGACGCUGCCCUUGACACUAUCUGGGGGACGGCGGCAAGCAGCCUAACAGGGCGCUCACCCUGAGCUCUGGGGGCUCCAAGGUGGUGAACACAGAAUUUAGCGAGUGGCGAAGGUGACACGGCUCUGUAGCCGCGCAGCCGUCGGUGAGGGGCCACCUGGUCCUGCCACCCCCCAAACCAAACUCCAGAGCACCUGAGCCCUGUUCCUGUAGGGCUCCCCGGGACUGUCAACAUUUAUGGAGCACUUACUGUAUGCCAGGCACGAUUCUGAGCCUCUUCUGUGGCUACACCACUGCUCAUAGAUCACGGAUGGCGCGCGAUCCUUCUUCAGGUGGAGCCGCCGAGGCACAGCUGGUGGCCAACCGUGUGGGCAGACAGCAAGGUGGCAUCGCGAGCACUCUGGCUCCCGCACGGGCCUUCCCAGGUGCUCCCCCCCCCCGCUCACUCCUGGGAGGCCGCCAAUGCUUUCCUCCUUUUAAAAAAAGGAUCUGGGGGGGCUGGGGAUGUGGCUCAAGCGGUAGCACGCUUGCCUGGCAUGCGUGCGGCCCGGGUUCGAUCCUCAGCACCACAUACAAACAAAGAUGUUGUGUCCGCCGAAAACUAAACAUCCAUAUCUCUCUCUCUCAAAAAAAAAAAAAAAAAAAAGAAAAUAAAAGAAAAAGAA
This is a long non-coding RNA of Marmota monax (woodchuck), 4177 nucleotides long. RefSeq lists it as uncharacterized. The transcript is spliced from 2 exons. NCBI's taxonomy places the organism in Eukaryota, Metazoa, Chordata, Mammalia, Rodentia, Sciuridae. The record is from RefSeq and is a predicted model, not a curated record.